UUACAGUACACAUAUUUUAUAUACUACAGGAACACAUAAUACAGGUACUCAACGUGUGUUUUACUGUGGUUAUUUUUAUUUUUUUUUUUACUUAACCUGCAUGUUGAAGAAGAGCCAAUCAUAGGGUUUGUCUUGAAGUUUGGAGGACCAGAAGAAGGGACCACUCACAGCCCUCAGUGAUCUUAUUUCCCCCCCACCCCUUCAUUAGCCACAAGUCAAAUGUACCCAAACUGCUGAGGAAUGUCUCCUUUGUCACG
Sander lucioperca (pikeperch) is the source of this 257-nucleotide long non-coding RNA. RefSeq lists it as uncharacterized. The transcript has 2 exons. The record is from RefSeq and is a predicted model, not a curated record. NCBI's taxonomy places the organism in Eukaryota, Metazoa, Chordata, Actinopteri, Perciformes, Percidae.